RNAcentral lists this ribosomal RNA (1107 nucleotides) under Vibrio fluvialis. RNAcentral's name for it is "bacterial SSU rRNA". It matches the Rfam family "Bacterial small subunit ribosomal RNA", at positions 353 to 1451 of the family's 1533-position model. Lineage: Bacteria; Pseudomonadati; Pseudomonadota; Gammaproteobacteria; Vibrionales; Vibrionaceae. The record is from RNAcentral.
AGUGGGGAAUAUUGCACAAUGGGCGCAAGCCUGAUGCAGCCAUGCCGCGUGUAUGAAGAAGGCCUUCGGGUUGUAAAGUACUUUCAGCAGUGAGGAAGGAGGUAUCGUUAAUAGCGGUACUCUUUGACGUUAGCUGCAGAAGAAGCACCGGCUAACUCCGUGCCAGCAGCCGCGGUAAUACGGAGGGUGCGAGCGUUAAUCGGAAUUACUGGGCGUAAAGCGCAUGCAGGUGGUUUGUUAAGUCAGAUGUGAAAGCCCCGGGGCUCAACCUCGGAAUUGCAUUUGAAACUGGCAGGCUAGAGUACUGUAGAGGGGGGUAGAAUUUCAGGUGUAGCGGUGAAAUGCGUAGAGAUCUGAAGGAAUACCGGUGGCGAAGGCGGCCCCCUGGACAGAUACUGACACUCAGAUGCGAAAGCGUGGGGAGCAAACAGGAUUAGAUACCCUGGUAGUCCACGCCGUAAACGAUGUCUACUUGGAGGUUGUGGCCUUGAGCCGUGGCUUUCGGAGCUAACGCGUUAAGUAGACCGCCUGGGGAGUACGGUCGCAAGAUUAAAACUCAAAUGAAUUGACGGGGGCCCGCACAAGCGGUGGAGCAUGUGGUUUAAUUCGAUGCAACGCGAAGAACCUUACCUACUCUUGACAUCCAGAGAACUUAGCAGAGAUGCUUUGGUGCCUUCGGGAACUCUGAGACAGGUGCUGCAUGGCUGUCGUCAGCUCGUGUUGUGAAAUGUUGGGUUAAGUCCCGCAACGAGCGCAACCCUUAUCCUUGUUUGCCAGCGAGUAAUGUCGGGAACUCCAGGGAGACUGCCGGUGAUAAACCGGAGGAAGGUGGGGACGACGUCAAGUCAUCAUGGCCCUUACGAGUAGGGCUACACACGUGCUACAAUGGCGCAUACAGAGGGCGGCCAACUUGCGAAAGUGAGCGAAUCCCAAAAAGUGCGUCGUAGUCCGGAUUGGAGUCUGCAACUCGACUCCAUGAAGUCGGAAUCGCUAGUAAUCGUGAAUCAGAAUGUCACGGUGAAUACGUUCCCGGGCCUUGUACACACCGCCCGUCACACCAUGGGAGUGGGCUGCAAAAGAAGCAGGUAGUUUAACCUUCGGGAGGAC